CUUAUUUCGGGGGUGGGGGUUCAGUGGGUUUUUAAAGUUUUGUUUUUAGAACCUUAUCUCUUCUCUCCUUCGUAUCUUUCUAUUUUAUUUUAUUUUUCUAAUCUCAAAAUACUCUCUAUGAACUUCUCACUGGACACGUUGCAAUAAUUAAGCACUUUAUAGGAGAUUAUUGAUUAGAAAGACACAUAGACCGAUUUUUGAAUGUUUAUACCAAUUUUCUGCAUAAACGGUUUUUAGAACACUGAGUUUAAAAUAUCGGAUUUAAGGUCCCUAUAAAUACAAAUUGUACAUAUUUUAUAUCUAUAAUUAUGAAUUAUUGUAUAAAUGAAUGGAAAGAAAGAUAAAGGUUAUACUUUUGUAUACACGUGUGAAAAUAAAACAGGGCAGAGAAUCCUCUUAUAAACUAGAAUAAAUUUCUAUAUAAAAUUAUUUAUUUCUACAUUUGGAUGACUUUUUUUAACUAAGAACGUGUUCCUUCCUAUUUUGUACGUAAGGCUUCUGAUUAUCACCAAGCGACGAAAUUCUAGUUUAUCAUUUUUGUAAAGACAAAUUCCGCACUUUAUGACAAAAGUUUUUCACUUUGUUUUGUGAACAUUUAUUUAUCAGGGAAUAGGAUCAUGAGAAUGCAUGGUAGUCUGGUAGGUGGAUAAAUCAAUUCAAAGACAAUGAUAAUUAUAAGACAUGCAUGUAACGAAUAAUCAAUCAUGUUAGUGGAGAGUAGUUUAUUUUGGUGUUAAACAAUGUCCACAAACUCCGCAAAUUUAGGGUAAUUAAUUGACAUAGUCUCUACUCAAAAUCUACAGACACUUCGAUUUUUGUAUUAUGAAGACUAAAAAUGUGAUACUAGGAUAAUGGCACGUACAAAAGACUAUUCAUAGGAUAAGAAACGUCAAAGUUUAGUGACAAGUGACUACGUAAACGAAGGGUGCAUGGAAUAAAGAGGGAAAAUGGUUAUGGGUAUCAAGCAAGAAAACCUUGACAAACCGGCUGCACAGUUUCAAUAUGUUAUCUCAGAUCAGGUGCAAGUUUUAUAUCAAGCGAAUGCCCAAACUUUUAAAUAUAUUUCCAUCAGAAGUACCUAAUUAAAGUAUCAUUAUUCAACCAAUGUUUGUCGAGAACAAUAUUAUCUAAACUAUAAUAUCUAUAUUUCUGUUUAACAUCCAUCCGUAUAAUUGUUCUUCUUAAAUUUUAAAUCUUUACAAAAUCAAAAAUAAAAUAAGAGUGGAGAGAGAAAAACACUCUAUCACCUUUCUGGCGGCUGCGGCAACGUGAAAAGCACUUCACCUCUAUCUAUUCUCUUAGCGAUUUUUUAUCUUCGGACGAGGUCUUUUGAUCAAAUACGCGUUGUGAUGGUUUCUCGAUUAGCUGGCGGUGCUGCAUGCACGAGGCUUGGGGUCUAGGUGACUAGUUGUGGUGCUCGGAAGACUAGUGCUGGUGACGAUCUCUCCCUUCUCCCUUUUGUCUUUUGAUCUACUCUGAGAUAUGUGAUCUGGUCGGAGGCAAAGCUUCGUUGGUGCUGAAGGCGUGGGUGUGGCGGAGUGAAGUGCAAGCUCACAGUGUGCUUCUCUCUGGGCAUCUAUCGGAUCUGGAUCAAUUCGAGGACUGUGGAUCUGGCUCUGUUGGCUCUCUCCCGGCGGUUCGUCUAUUUGAGGGUUCUCUUCUACCUUUCUCUUUAUUUGCUUUCAUGGAGUAAGUAGCCCUGUUUUGGUCGUCCAACACUAUUUGAUCUCGUUCGAUUCGGUUUCGCAGAAGCUUUUGACGAAGGUGUUUUGUUUAGUUGUAGCAAAGGUUCUUCUCCUUCGCAUCGGGUGUUCUAUUAUAAGAUGCUGGAGACAGAUGUUUUAUGUUCUGUCUCUCCUCUAGAAGCGGUCAUGUGCUUCCAAGCUUCUUAUGGUGGUAACCACAUGCGGCCCUCCUGUGUCUAAUCUGGUUUCUUUUGGUUCCAUCCAGUUUUGUCUCAAUUUUUGUUUGGUAGGGAACUUAACCAGAUUCAGUUCUGAGAGCAGGAUUAUCCUAGGUCCUUAAGUGGGUUUUUAGAGAAAAUGACUGAUUUAAUUAAAUAGAAACUAAUUAAAAAGAGAUAACCGAUCCUUAAUCUGAUAUUUUGGUGAUCGAUUUAAGGAGGAGUUACUAGGGCACGUGUCAGCACAUCAGAAUUUAUCUAUUUUUUUUUUCUUUCUUAUUUUUCUUUUUCUCUCUUUCUUUUCUUCUUUUCUUCUUGUUUUCUCCGUCUGUCGGCGUCUCGGCUCCUCUCGUCUUCUACGAUCGCGAGACCUCUCUUCCGGCGGCGAGUUAAUCAGAUAUCUCCGGCGAGUUAAUCAGAUAUUUCCUCUCUUUCGCGAGACCACUCUUCCCCCAAGAGAAGCCUCUCUUUCGGAUUAUUCCCUCCUCUCUCCCCAACUGUUUCGACUUCUAGUCGCUCUUGUACCGUCAGGGUACUUCCCCUCCGAACAUCCUUCUUUUGAAACUCGGGUGCGUCUUCUUUAACUGCCUCACGGCUUUCUUUUUUUGCUCUCUCUCUUCAUUUGAUUAGUUUCCGAAUUGUUGUGUGAUUGGUCGGAAGAAAAGUAGUGUUGCUAUCUUAAAGAUUGGUUGAUUAGAGAGUGGUCUGAAUUUGAUUGGAAAGUUGCGGUAGAGUUUGAAGUCAUAGUUGUUGAUUGAUUAUGCUUUGCUCCUUGUGAUACUUGAAGUUCAAUUGCUGUUUGAGUUUAAGAGUUUGUGAAGUCGUAGAAUUUAGUGAUCAUCUAGCUGAGUUUGUCACUUAUAAUCUUCAUUCUGUUUAUUAAUUCUGUUAUUUAAUCUUGUACAUAUAAUCUCCAUUCUGUUAAUUAAUUCCUUUUAAUGUCUUGAUUCUUUUGCAACUCUUUUAUUCAUGGUUGAGGUCGCUGUGGCAGAGAGUAUAACACAUCAAGUUCUUCGACAAGCAACCACUACCUUCGUCUCUCAGUGAGGUUGUCCGCUAUGGAGUUAAUGCAGUUCUUGUCCCCUGGUGUGAUACCGUUCUUGUCCCCUGAAGAUAACCUAGUGAAGAAGUGUCAUUGUCAUCGGUCACGACCUCUUUGUAUGCUUGUGUGUUUCAAAUGAAUCACAGACUUGUCUUUUUGUAUGUUUGUGUAUUAUUCAAGUGUCAUGAAUAGACCUCUUUGUAUGCUUGUGUGUUUCAAAUGAAUCACGGACUUGUCCUUUUGUAUAUGUGUGUAUUAUUCAAGUGUCAUGAAUAGACCUCUUUGUAUGCUAGUGUAUUAUCAGUCACAAACUUUUGUAUGCU
Molecule: long non-coding RNA, 3268 nt
Organism: Brassica napus (rape)
Lineage: Eukaryota; Viridiplantae; Streptophyta; Magnoliopsida; Brassicales; Brassicaceae
Exons: 2
Source: RefSeq, a predicted model, not a curated record